AUAAAAGAAUAUUUGCCAAUAUAGUUUUGGAUAUAAGGCCCAAAAGUUUCUACCGUGACGCCGAUAAGUCACGACUAUUGGUUGCAUU
RNAcentral lists this non-coding RNA (88 nucleotides) under human gut metagenome. Its description in RNAcentral is "Purine riboswitch". It matches the Rfam family "Purine riboswitch aptamer", at positions 5 to 93 of the family's 102-position model. Rfam says of the family: Riboswitches are metabolite binding domains within certain messenger RNAs that serve as precision sensors for their corresponding targets. Allosteric rearrangement of mRNA structure is mediated by ligand binding, and this results in modulation of gene expression. RNAcentral also lists the same sequence under 2 other names. The record is from RNAcentral.